This 253-nucleotide ribosomal RNA is filed under the name uncultured bacterium. Its description in RNAcentral is "partial 16S ribosomal RNA". It matches the Rfam family "Bacterial small subunit ribosomal RNA", at positions 524 to 776 of the family's 1533-position model. The record is from RNAcentral.
UACGUAGGGGGCAAGCGUUGUCCGGAAUCAUUGGGCGUAAAGCGCGUGUAGGCGGCUCGGUAAGUCCGCUCUGAAAGUCCAGGGCUCAACCCUGGGAUGCGGGUGGAUACUGCCGGGCUCGAGUCCGGAAGAGGCGAGUGGAAUUCCCGGUGUAGCGGUGAAAUGCGCAGAUAUCGGGAGGAACACCAAUGGCGAAAGCAGGUACCUGGACUAUUACUGACACUCAGCUGCGAAAGCUAGGGGAGCAAACAGG